Molecule: long non-coding RNA, 578 nt
Filed under: Chrysolophus pictus (golden pheasant)
Lineage: Eukaryota; Metazoa; Chordata; Aves; Galliformes; Phasianidae
Description: lncRNA (ENSCPIG00010002293.1)
Source: RNAcentral
AUGCAGAUGAGCAUUUACUCACAGGAGAUUCCUAGAAGCAGCUAUCCAGCAAGAAGGAUGCACAUCAUUCUUGAGGACCUCCUAAAAAUGAGGAACAAAGAACCAGGAAAAGAAAACAAUCCAGAAAAAAGUGAGCAUGAACCAGAACAGUAAUGGAGAAAGACUGAAGAGGGGAAAAAAGUAGAAAAUCUAAGAAAGCCAAAAAGAAAAAGAAGCCUGAAGGUAAACAUCAAAUGUACUAUGAGUAAGCAAAGGUUCCAGCAUCAUCAGCAAUUUUUCCUGAUUCUUUUUUGAGUGUUUCUCAUGUCUUCCCAUGCAUUAGGUGGGAAGGUUGGUGGCCCUGCAUGUGGCAGGGGGGUUGGAGAUUCAUGAUCCUUGGGGUCCCUUCCAACCCUGGCGAUUCUGUGAUUCAUUGUUUCUAACUUAACUAUAGAAGUGAUCUGCCCUGGGGAUGGUGUCAUUAGGAUGAAGUGAGGAUAGGAAAGAUACUGGUGAUCUGUGUUAGGAUAGAGAUCGGGUCCACAUCAUUAGAAUCACAUCUGCUCCCUGUUCUUGAUGAUGUUAUGGCAAUUUUAUUC